GGAUGAACGCUAGCGGCAGGCUUAAUACAUGCAAGUCGAGGGGCAGCGGGAGUAGCAAUACUUGCCGGCGACCGGCGCACGGGUGCGUAACACGUAUACAAUCUGCCUUUUACAGGGGGAUAGCCCGGAGAAAUCCGGAUUAAUACCCCAUAACAGUAGAGUAAACAUUUACUUUAUUUGAAAGCUCCGGCGGUAAGAGAUGGGUAUGCGGCUGAUUAGCUAGUUGGUAGUGUAACGGACUACCAAGGCUACGAUCAGUAGGGGAUCUGAGAGGACUAACCCCACACUGGUACUGAGACACGGACCAGACUCCUACGGGAGGCAGCAGUAA
This 331-nucleotide ribosomal RNA is filed under the name uncultured bacterium. RNAcentral describes it as "bacterial SSU rRNA". It matches the Rfam family "Bacterial small subunit ribosomal RNA", at positions 27 to 357 of the family's 1533-position model. The record is from RNAcentral.